GACGAACGCUGGCGGCGUGCUUAACACAUGCAAGUCGAACGGAAAGGCUCCAGCUUGCUGGAGUACUCGAGUGGCGAACGGGUGAGUAACACGUGGGUAAUCUGCCCUGCACUCUGGGAUAAGCCUGGGAAACUGGGUCUAAUACUGGAUAUGACCUUUCUCCUUAUGGGGUUUGGUGGAAAGUUUUUCGGUGUAGGAUGAGCCCGCGGCCUAUCAGCUUGUUGGUGGGGUGAUGGCCUACCAAGGCGACGACGGGUAGCCGGCCUGAGAGGGUGAUCGGACACAUUGGGACUGAGAUACGGCCCAGACUCCUACGGGAGGCAGCAGUGGGGAAUAUUGCACAAUGGGCGGAAGCCUGAUGCAGCGACGCCGCGUGAGGGAUGACGGCCUUCGGGUUGUAAACCUCUUUCAGCAGGGACGAAGCGUAAGUGACGGUACCUGCAGAAGAAGCACGGGCUAACUACGUG
This 467-nucleotide ribosomal RNA is filed under the name uncultured bacterium. RNAcentral's name for it is "partial 16S ribosomal RNA". It matches the Rfam family "Bacterial small subunit ribosomal RNA", at positions 28 to 507 of the family's 1533-position model. The record is from RNAcentral.